GAAGGCAAGGGUUUAAAAAAAAGAAACUGCUUAACAGAUACUGAGGAAAAAAACAGCCACUAAUCAUAGCACCAAGACUCAGCAGAACAAAAGUUUCCCCAGUCUUAUUGAGGAAACCUCUCGUUUUCAGAUUUUUUUUCUUCUACUAUUUACCUGAGGUCAAGUGAUUUGUCCAGAGUCACAUGGUCACUAUGCCAAGGGGACCAUCUCGGAGGAAAGAUCUAAAUCCAGAUAUCCCAUGAUGCUUUUUACUGAGCUUAUUAACAAUAACAGCAAUGCAAAGUCAUUCCAUGUUGAUGACAUACUUUCAUGGAAAAUGUAAAGUUCCAGAGACAAAAAGAGUAUGUCAGACAGCGUCCAUUCAUUCUUCUUUCCAAAGCAUUGUGAGUGUCAAGAUUAAAAAUUUCUAAAGUCUGUA
Molecule: long non-coding RNA, 418 nt
Organism: Monodelphis domestica (gray short-tailed opossum)
Lineage: Eukaryota; Metazoa; Chordata; Mammalia; Didelphimorphia; Didelphidae
Source: RefSeq, a predicted model, not a curated record